RNAcentral lists this ribosomal RNA (967 nucleotides) under uncultured archaeon. RNAcentral describes it as "bacterial SSU rRNA". It matches the Rfam family "Archaeal small subunit ribosomal RNA", at positions 437 to 1409 of the family's 1478-position model. The record is from RNAcentral.
AGGACUGGGCAAGACCGGUGCCAGCCGCCGCGGUAAUACCGGCAGUCCGAGUGAUGGCCGAUAUUAUUGGGCCUAAAGCGUCCGUAGCUGCUGUGUAAGUCCAUUGGGAAAUCGACCAGCUCAACUGGUCGGCGUCCGGUGGAAACUACACAGCUUGGGGCCGAGAGACUCAACGGGUACGUCCGGGGUAGGAGUGAAAUCCUGUAAUCCUGGACGGACCACCAAUGGGGAAACCACGUUGAGAGACCGGACCCGACGGUGAGGGACGAAAGCCAGGGUCUCGAACCGGAUUAGAUACCCGGGUAGUCCUGGCUGUAAACAAUGCUCGCUAGGUAUGUCACGCGCCAUGAGCACGUGAUGUGCCGUAGUGAAGACGAUAAGCGAGCCGCCUGGGAAGUACGUCCGCAAGGAUGAAACUUAAAGGAAUUGGCGGGGGAGCACCACAACCGGAGGAGCCUGCGGUUUAAUUGGACUCAACGCCGGACAUCUCACCGGUCCCGACAGUAGUAAUGACGGUCAGGUUGACGACUUUACCCGACGCUACUGAGAGGAGGUGCAUGGCCGCCGUCAGCUCGUACCGUGAGGCGUCCUGUUAAGUCAGGCAACGAGCGAGACCCACACUUCUAGUUGCCAGCAACACCCCUGCGGUGGUUGGGUACACUAGGAGGACUGCCGCUGCUAAAGCGGAGGAAGGAAUGGGCAACGGUAGGUCAGUAUGCCCCGAAUGGACCGGGCAACACGCGGGCUACAAUGGCCCUGACAGUGGGAUGCAACGCCGAGAGGCGAAGCUAAUCUCCAAACGGAGUCGUAGUUCGGAUUGCGGGCUGAAACCCGCCCGCAUGAAGCUGGAUUCGGUAGUAAUCGCGUGUCAGAAGCGCGCGGUGAAUACGUCCCUGCUCCUUGCACACACCGCCCGUCAAAGCACCCGAGUGGGGUCCGGAUGAGGCCGUCAGGCGACGGUCGAAUC